UAGCGGCAGGCUUAACACAUGCAAGUCGAGGGGCAGCGGGGAGGAAGCUUGCUUUCUCCGCCGGCGACCGGCGCACGGGUGAGUAACACGUAUGCAACCUGCCCCUGUCAGGGGGACAACCCGCCGAAAGGCGGGCUAAACCCGCGUACAUGCCACCGGGGCAUCCCGGAGGCAGGAAAGGCUUCGGCCGGACAGGGAUGGGCAUGCGGCGCAUUAGGCAGUAGGCGGGAUAACGGCCCACCUAACCGACGAUGCGUAGGGGUUCUGAGAGGAAGGUCCCCCACACUGGUACUGAGACACGGACCAGACUCCUACGGGAGGCAGCAGUGAGGAAUAUUGGUCAAUGGUCGGGAGACUGAACCAGCCAAGCCGCGUGAGGGAGGAAGGUACAGAGUAUCGUAAACCUCUUUUGUCAGGGAACAAAGGCGGGGACGUGUCCCCGGAUGAGUGUACCUGAAGAAAAAGCAUCGGCUAACUCCGUGCCAGCAGCCGCGGUAAUACGGAGGAUGCGAGCGUUAUCCGGAUUUAUUGGGUUUAAAGGGUGCGCAGGCGGUCUGUUAAGUCAGCGGUCAAAGCCCGGGGCUCAACCCCGGCCCGCCGUUGAAACUGGCAGUCUCGAGUUGGAGAGAAGUAUGCGGAAUGCGCGGUGUAGCGGUGAAAUGCAUAGAUAUCGCGCAGAACUCCGAUUGCGAAAGCAGCAUGCCGGCUCCACACUGACGCUGAGGCACGAAAGCGUGGGUAUCGAACAGGAUUAGAUACCCUGGUAGUCCACGCAGUAAACGAUGAAUGCAGGCUGUCCGGGGGGAUUGACCCCUGGGUGGCGAAGCGAAAGCGAUAAGCAUUCCACCUGGGGAGUACGCCGGCAACGGUGAAACUCAAAGGAAUUGACGGGGGCCCGCACAAGCGGAGGAACAUGUGGUUUAAUUCGAUGAUACGCGAGGAACCUUACCCGGGCUCAAACGGGGAGUGACUCAGGCAGAGACGCCUGUUUCCCACGGGACACUCCCCGAGGUGCUGCAUGGUUGUCGUCAGCUCGUGCCGUGAGGUGUCGGCUUAAGUGCCAUAACGAGCGCAACCCCCGCGUGCAGUUGCUAACAGAUAACGCUGAGGACUCUGCACGGACUGCCGGCGCAAGCCGCGAGGAAGGCGGGGAUGACGUCAAAUCAGCACGGCCCUUACGUCCGGGGCGACACACGUGUUACAAUGGGUGGUACAGCGGGAAGCCAGGCGGCGACGCCGAGCGGAACCCGAAAUCCACUCUCAGUUCGGAUCGGAGUCUGCAACCCGACUCCGUGAAGCUGGAUUCGCUAGUAAUCGCGCAUCAGCCAUGGCGCGGUGAAUACGUUCCCGGGCCUUGU
Molecule: ribosomal RNA, 1358 nt
Filed under: uncultured bacterium
Lineage: Bacteria
Description: partial 16S ribosomal RNA
Rfam family: Bacterial small subunit ribosomal RNA
Source: RNAcentral